AUGGAAUCGCUAAUACUAAUCUCACAGGCUCACAUGCAGCCUUGCUCUCCAGAAAAAUGGGUGUCUGUGAAGGUGAAGGGGAACACGGGAAAGAACAGGUCGUCAGAAUGUGGGCGUGAGCAGGUUGAGCAGCGACACCCUGGCGUUCACGAGCGCACGGUACACCUGCUCGCCGCUGCCCUCGGCGGCGGCCACGCACUCCUCGAGGCCGCGCACCCGGCCCAUGGCCGCCUUCCUCUCCUCCUCCUCCUCGUUGCAGUACUCCUCGAACGAGAACGACACGGUCCUCCGCCGGCGGAGGAGGUCAGUCACCAGCCACAUCGGGCUGGCGGGGGCGCGGGCGGGGGAGUAGGGCGUCGGCGUCCUCGGGGACGGGGCGGCGCUGGCGGCGGACUCGGCCGAGGCGGACGACAGGCCGGAGAAGAUGGCCGCGGAGGCGGCGGCCACGGCGGCCGUGGCGGCGGCGAAGGCGUCGGCGAGCGUGAUCUCGUCCAGGUCGUCGUCGGGGGCGGCGCGGUGGCAGAGGUCCCUGGCGGAGGAUGCGAGGCGGGAGACCUCCCUGGCGGCGCGGCGCUGCGCGCGGAGCGCCGCGGCGAGGCGCACGCCGUCGCGGCGGCGCAGGGCGGAGUGCGUCUCGUUGAGCAGCUGGCGGAGCGCGACGAGCGAGUCCCGGAAGCAGCCGUGGAAGUCGGCGAGGAGGAGCAGGUCGUCGAGCAGCUGCUCCGUCCAGGGCCGGCGGAGCGCGUCCCGCGCCUGCGGGUGGUGGAGCAUGGCGGAGAGGCCCGCCAGCACCUGCCCGGCCCGGUCGGCGCCGUCGGCGACCCAGGCGGGCCCCGUCUGCGCGGGCUCGUCCGCCCACCGCAGCAGCGCGCGCGCCGAGUCGUGCAGCGCGGCCACCAGCGGGUGGAGGCGGACGGGGAGGCUGAUGGAGCGGACGCGCGCGUAGGAGGACAGCUUCUUGGGCCGCGCGCACUCCAGCAGGGCCGACUUGGGCGACGUGAGCGCGUCCAGCGCCCGACGGAACCCCACCGCCAUCGCCGCUGGCUUCCUGAUUGCCUCUGCUUGCUGGAGAGAAGCUUUUCGAUCGGGCGUUUGAUCCUUGGAUGUGGAUGUGAAUGCGGUGGUCUCGGUGUGCUGCUGGUGAUGGGGGAGGCGGUGCUUUAUACUGGUUUAUUACACGAGGAGUGA
Molecule: ribosomal RNA, 1188 nt
Filed under: Triticum aestivum (bread wheat)
Lineage: Eukaryota; Viridiplantae; Streptophyta; Magnoliopsida; Poales; Poaceae
Description: partial small subunit ribosomal RNA
Source: RNAcentral